Monodelphis domestica (gray short-tailed opossum) is the source of this 83-nucleotide small nuclear RNA. Its record names the gene U4. It matches the Rfam family "U4 spliceosomal RNA". Rfam says of the family: U4 small nuclear RNA (U4 snRNA) is a component of the major U2-dependent spliceosome. The structure of U4 snRNA from yeast and human has been reported. U4 snRNA presents a k-turn RNA motif in the 5p-SL related to recognition of Snu13 protein. Lineage: Eukaryota; Metazoa; Chordata; Mammalia; Didelphimorphia; Didelphidae. The record is from Ensembl.
AGUUUUGUGCGGUGGCAACAUUAUAGCCAAUAAGGUUUAUCCAAGGUAUGGUUAUUGCUAAUUGAAAACUUUGAAUCAAUCCU